This 1278-nucleotide long non-coding RNA is filed under the name Mytilus galloprovincialis (Mediterranean mussel). Lineage: Eukaryota; Metazoa; Mollusca; Bivalvia; Mytilida; Mytilidae. The record is from RNAcentral.
ACACAUGAAUAUAUUUACUCAUUCACAAUCUCUCUUAUUUAUAUAAAAGAAAUGUACAUGUAAGGUGGUAACCAACACUUUCACUAAAAAUCAUUUGGCUCGCUUAAUUUUCAUGAAACUUUGACCAAGUAUUUACUUUGACCCUUUGACAAAAAUAUAAAAAAAUCAAAAUAUUUGAACCAACCAAUUUAUCCGAAAAAAUACACUGGUUACAUAGCAGUUUGACAAACACUAAUUUUGAUCAUUGAGAAACUUAAUAUUCCCUUAAUAACUCGACGUAAUUAAAACGUUUAGCUGAUUUUACAGAGUUAUCUCCCUGUAGUGUUAGGUACCACCUUAAGAGAGAAAAAACUAACAAACAUAAACCACUGUCCAAGUCCCCUGUUUUCAAAGGACACUUGUGAAACAUGGAAAAGGUUGACCUUGAACGACAUUUUGCUUAUUCUGCUUGUGAACUUUCGGUGCACGAUAUUGUUUCAAAUCAGUAGUCAGAGACUCGGUACGGACAUGAUAUAUAAAAAAGGAAUAUACUACGCUAUAAAAAUUAUGCGUUUUAACCGCUUUUCAAAAUUUUCCUUCAUCUGGAUUGUUAAAAGUCAAAUAUUAAAAAAAAACAUAGAAACAAAAGAACUGACACAAUUCAAAAGUUUCAUAACUGUAAAAAAAAAUAUAGCCAACUCCAUCUAUAAUUCAACUUUCUUUUUAGUUGGAACCUUAGUUUCUAAAUAUAUAUAUAAACGGAGUUUUUUUUAAGAAAGGCAACAUACUUUCCUUAAAUUUUCCAUUGAGACAUGAUACAAUAAAUAUAAAACUAAAGUUCUUAUCCCCUAAGGUAAAGUUUAUUCUACGUUCUUUUUUUAAUAAAUUCUAUCUCGUGUUUCGAUAUUUAUGUAUCGUCCGAUAUUUUGGCUUUCAGAGUUCCUUGUAUCGGUUUAUCAAAGUAAGGAUACCAUUUUAGUAGAAUCUGAUAAUUCUUUUCUUAGGUUAAACUGUUUUAUAAACAUAACAAAUUACAAAUGUUUCGAAACCAACGGUAUUUUUUUAACUUCAAAUACACACGUUUUAUUGUGUCUUUUAAAUAGCUGUUUGAAAGUUUUGUUAUAGCUAGUUAUUUGUUAUGAUUGAAUUCCAAUGUGGGAAAUAUCCUGAUUUCUAUCAUGUUUUUAAAGGAUGUAUCUUUCAAAAGGUUGACUGAAUAAAACUUAAAACGUGUUUUUUUUAACAUUCUUUUUGUUUCUUAUCAUUUAUUGAAAAUUCUGAUAAAAAAAAGAUUAAAAC